CAGUCGAGGGGCAGCACGAUGUAGCAAUACAUGGGUGGCGACCGGCGCACGGGUGCGUAACACGUAUGGAAUCUGCCCUGUACUGGGGGAUAGCCCUCCGAAAGGAGGAUUAAUACCCCAUAACAACUUGAGUGGCAUCACUUGGGUUUGAAAGCUCCGGCGGUACAGGAUGACCAUGCGCACGAUUAGCUAGUAGGUGAGGUAACGGCUCACCUAGGCUACGAUCGUUAGGGGGCCUGAGAGGGUUAUCCCCCACACUGGUACUGAGACACGGACCAGACUCCUACGGGAGGCAGCAGUGAGGAAUAUUGCGCAAUGGAGGCAACUCUGACGCAGCCAUGCCGCGUGCAGGAAGAAGGCGCUACGCGUUGUAAACUGCUUUUAACCGGGAAGAAACCCCAGGACGUGUCCUGGGUUGACGGUACCGGAGGAAUAAGCACCGGCUAACUUCGUGCCAGCAGCCGCGGUAAUACGAAGGGUGCAAGCGUUAUCCGGAUUCAUUGGGUUUAAAGGGUGCGUAGGCGGGGCCGUAAGUCAGUGGUGAAAUCCUGCAGCUUAACUGUAGAAUUGCCAUUGAUACUGCGGUUCUUGAGUACGCUUGAUGUGGGCGGAAUGUGCCGUGUAGCGGUGAAAUGCUUAGAUAUGGCACAGAACACCGAUCGCGAAGGCAGCUCACAAAGGCGAAACUGACGCUGAGGCACGAAAGCGUGGGGAUCGAACAGGAUUAGAUACCCUGGUAGUCCACGCCGUAAACGAUGAUCACUCGUCAUUGGCGAUACACUGUCAGUGACCUAGCGAAAGCGUUAAGUGAUCCACCUGGGGAGUACGGCCGCAAGGCUGAAACUCAAAGGAAUUGACGG
Molecule: ribosomal RNA, 860 nt
Filed under: uncultured bacterium
Lineage: Bacteria
Description: bacterial SSU rRNA
Rfam family: Bacterial small subunit ribosomal RNA
Source: RNAcentral